This 497-nucleotide ribosomal RNA is filed under the name uncultured bacterium. Its description in RNAcentral is "partial 16S ribosomal RNA". It matches the Rfam family "Bacterial small subunit ribosomal RNA", at positions 28 to 507 of the family's 1533-position model. The record is from RNAcentral.
GAUGAACGCUGGCGGCGUGCGUAAUACAUGCAAGUCGAGCGAACAGACGAGGAGCUUGCUCCUCUGACGUUAGCGGCGGACGGGUGAGUAACACGUGGAUAACCUACCUAUAAGACUGGGAUAACUUCGGGAAACCGGAGCUAAUACCGGAUAAUAUAUUGAACCGCAUGGUUCAAUAGUGAAAGACGGUUUUGCUGUCACUUAUAGAUGGAUCCGCGCCGCAUUAGCUAGUUGGUAAGGUAACGGCUUACCAAGGCAACGAUGCGUAGCCGACCUGAGAGGGUGAUCGGCCACACUGGAACUGAGACACGGUCCAGACUCCUACGGGAGGCAGCAGUAGGGAAUCUUCCGCAAAGGGCGAAAGCCUGACGGAGCAACGCCGCGUGAGUGAUGAAGGUCUUCGGAUCGUAAAACUCUGUUAUUAGGGAAGAACAAAUGUGUAAGUAACUAUGCACGUCUUGACGGUACCUAAUCAGAAAGCCACGGCUAACUACGUG